Long non-coding RNA from Daucus carota subsp. sativus, 676 nucleotides. RefSeq lists it as uncharacterized. Lineage: Eukaryota; Viridiplantae; Streptophyta; Magnoliopsida; Apiales; Apiaceae. The transcript is spliced from 3 exons. The record is from RefSeq and is a predicted model, not a curated record.
AAAAAUUUCACCCAAAUUCUAAUUUCCCUCUCCUGAUUUGACCUAAAUUUCAUAAGCGGGAGAUUUAGAUGAGCAUUUGUGUCUCUCCCCCCUUCUUCUGCAUCUGUGUCUCUCCCCUCUUCUCUCCAGUGUUGAUUUGUUGAAUAACAUAGUCAUGUCUCGCUCCUUGGCUCUCCCUCUCUACCCCUCACCCCGUCUCUCUCCGUGUCUCGAUCUCAUUUUCUACAAGUCUUACUCAGAUCUGUUGUGCCGGCAGUGACCCCAAACGGUUCAAGUUUUUGAUGUCGGUGUUGACCUCUCUGCUUGAUUUAACAACAAUUUACCUUAUAAAGAGGUGCCAAGUUCAGAGCCAAGGGGUCUCAUCUUUCUCUGCCAUGGUUAUGAUAUGGAGUGUAGUAUCGUUGUGAAAGGGAUUUGGCUUGCGAAAGCAAGAUAUGCAGUUCAUGGUAUCCACUAUCAUGGUCAUGGGAAGCUACUGAUAAGUGUCUUGUCAUGUAUUUUGUUGCUGCAACUUGAAAAGAUGAAGAAUGAAUGGAGGCUUGUUAUGACAAAGCAUUCUUAUAUGCAUCUUGGAGUUCAAUUUGUUAAAUUUUUAUCCUCUUUGCACUUUAAUUCAACUAUAUAGAUUGGAACAUAGUAAGAUCUUAAGUUAUUGUUUGUGAUUAGUUGUAAUUAU